Molecule: long non-coding RNA, 639 nt
Organism: Pogoniulus pusillus (Red-fronted tinkerbird)
Lineage: Eukaryota; Metazoa; Chordata; Aves; Piciformes; Lybiidae
Exons: 2
Source: RefSeq, a predicted model, not a curated record
CAACUGGGCAGAGGGAUCCUCCUCCCAUCAUCGCUGCCCAGUCUCCUGUGCAGAUGUGCACCCUAUUGCACGCCUGCUGCCUCAGCACUGCCUGGUAAGCUCCACUGCCACAAGUUACCAGGAGCAGACCCUGGAUUGUCUGCCCACGAUGGGCCUGUGUGUUCAGCGUGACACCGUGCUGAGACUGCACAACAUCCUGCCUCUGCACCUAAGGUCCUGCCGGGAGAACAAGGUCAGAGACGCCAGGAGGAUUCCACCCCUGACAUCCGCGGGCAGAGUUCCCUGAAGACUGCACACUUGUAUAGGCUGUGAUGUGGCCCUGGAGAGUGAUUGAUAAUUAAUAAGAAUUUGUGAGUAAAUGCUUUAAUGCCUCUGUAAUUUUCUAUUGCCUCCUGGCAUAGAGCAGAAAGAGCCUGAGCCCAUCUACUGAGCAAAUGGCAUACUGACCCCAGGUGGCAUAUUGACCACAGGGAUAUUCUCUCUCUAUUUAUUGUUUGAAUGUUGGCUAGAUAAUACCAGUUCUGUUUGGUGUUAGUCCUAGAAUGUCUUCCAUAACUAUGUUAAUGAACAAAUAUUGAUUGUUUGGAGGUGGUGAGAGUUCAGAAUAUUACAAUUAAUAAACUAUAUAUUUUUAUAGAA